RNAcentral lists this ribosomal RNA (248 nucleotides) under uncultured bacterium. RNAcentral describes it as "partial 16S ribosomal RNA". It matches the Rfam family "Bacterial small subunit ribosomal RNA", at positions 1135 to 1382 of the family's 1533-position model. The record is from RNAcentral.
GCACUCUAAGGAGACUGCCGGUGACAAACCGGAGGAAGGUGGGGAUGACGUCAAGUCAUCAUGGCCCUUACGGCCUGGGCUACACACGUGCUACAAUGGUCGGUACARAGGGUUGCCAAGCCGCGAGGUGGAGCUAAUCCCAUAAAACCGAUCGUAGUCCGGAUCGCAGUCUGCAACUCGACUGCGUGAAGUCGGAAUCGCUAGUAAUCGCGAAUCAGAAUGUCGCGGUGAAUACGUUCCCGGGCCUU